UACGUAGGGUGCGAGCGUUAAUCGGAAUUACUGGGCGUAAAGCGAGCGUAGUCGGUUAUUUAAGUCGGGUGUGAAAUCCCCGGGCUCAACCUGGGAAUUGCAUUCGAUACUGGAUAGCUAGAGUUCGGCAGAGGGAAGCGGAAUUUCCGGUGUAGCGGUGAAAUGCGUAGAUAUCGGAAGGAACAUCAGUGGCGAAAGCGGCUUCCUGGACCAGAACUGACGAUCAGGCUCGAAAGCGUGGGGAGCAAACAGG
Molecule: ribosomal RNA, 253 nt
Filed under: uncultured bacterium
Lineage: Bacteria
Description: partial 16S ribosomal RNA
Rfam family: Bacterial small subunit ribosomal RNA
Source: RNAcentral